CUUUUGUUUUUUUAAAAGGUUCUACCUGCUCAAUGAAUAUUUUUUAAAUAGCCGCAGUAUAUUAACUGUGCUAAGGUAGCAUAAUAAUUAGUCUUUUAAUUGAGGUCUGGAAUGAAUGGUUUAACGAAAAAAAUUUUUUAUUAGCAUUAUUUAUUUUAAUUUGUUUUUCUAGUUAAAAUUCUAGAAUGUUUAAGAGGGACGAUAAGACCCUAUAGAUCUUAAUAAUUUUAAAUUUAAUUAAUUUUUUGUUGUUUUUUUUUUUAUUUUUAACUUUUUUUUGUUGGGGUGACAGCUAAAAAUUUGAACUUUAGUUUUUAAUAACAUUUUUAUAUGAUUUUUUUGAUCCUUAUUUUUUGAUUAAAAGAAUAAGAUACCUUAGGGAUAACAGCGUAAUAUAUUUGGAGAGUUCUAAUUGAUAAAUAUGUUUGCGACCUCGAUGUUGGAUUAAAGUUAAACUAUGGGGUAGGUUUUAUAGUAUUAG
This 481-nucleotide ribosomal RNA is filed under the name Bubastia sp. ZISP ISSID G018. RNAcentral's name for it is "partial large subunit ribosomal RNA". The record is from RNAcentral. Lineage: Eukaryota; Metazoa; Arthropoda; Insecta; Hemiptera; Issidae.